GAGGUAUACGAUGGACCCGCGUCUGAUUAGCCAGUUGGCAGGGUAACGGCCUACCAAAGCAACGAUCAGUAGCCGGCCUGAGAGGGUGGACGGCCACAUUGGGACUGAGACACGGCCCAAACUCCUGCGGGAGGCAGCAGUGGGGGAUAUUGCACAAUGGGGGAAACCCUGAUGCAGCGACGCCGCGUGAGUGAAGAAGCAUUUCGGUGUGUAAAGCUCUAUCAGCAGGGAAGAAGAAUGACGGUACCUGACUAAGAAGCCCCGGCUAACUACGUGCCAGCAGCCGCGGUAAUACGUAGGGGGCAAGCGUUAUCCGGAUUUACUGGGUGUAAAGGGAGCGUAGACGGCAAUGCAAGCCAGAUGUGAAAACCCGCAGCUCAACUGGGGGAGUGCAUUUGGAACUGUGUAGCUGGAGUGCAGGAGAGGUAAGCGGAAUUCCUGGUGUAGCGGUGAAAUGCGUAGAUAUCAGGAGGAACACCAGUGGCGAAGGCGGCUUACUGGACUGUAACUGACGUUGAGGCUCGAAAGCGUGGGGAGCAAACAGGAUUAGAUACCCUGGUAGUCCACGCUGUAAACGAUGAAUACUAGGUGUCGGGGGUUUACGGACGCCCG
Molecule: ribosomal RNA, 612 nt
Filed under: uncultured bacterium
Lineage: Bacteria
Description: bacterial SSU rRNA
Rfam family: Bacterial small subunit ribosomal RNA
Source: RNAcentral